CACAAUCCAGUAUCUGGAAAUAUGGCUACACCUCAAAAUCAAUACAAUGCUGAAGAUCUAUAUAAUGCAGCAGAAAAGGAGAAUUGGAAAGAAGUGCGAAUAAUUAUCAGUGACCAACCUCAACUCGUCAAUGAAAUAUAUGACCGUCUGACGUUUGUUUAUCGUAUUGUGCUGCUGCUUAAAGCGCCACAAGACAUUCUGUUGGACA
Molecule: long non-coding RNA, 208 nt
Organism: Anneissia japonica
Lineage: Eukaryota; Metazoa; Echinodermata; Crinoidea; Comatulida; Comatulidae
Exons: 3
Source: RefSeq, a predicted model, not a curated record